UACAGAGGGGGCAAGCGUUGUUCGGAAUUACUGGGCGUAAAGGGCGCGUAGGCGGCCUUCUAAGUCGAACGUGAAAUCCCUGGGCUCAACCCAGGAACUGCGUCCGAUACUGGAAGGCUUGAAUCCGGGAGAGGGAUGCGGAAUUCCAGGUGUAGCGGUGAAAUGCGUAGAUAUCUGGAGGAACACCGGUGGCGAAGGCGGCAUCCUGGACCGGUAUUGACGCUGAGGCGCGAAAGCCAGGGGAGCAAUCAGG
RNAcentral lists this ribosomal RNA (253 nucleotides) under uncultured bacterium. RNAcentral's name for it is "partial 16S ribosomal RNA". It matches the Rfam family "Bacterial small subunit ribosomal RNA", at positions 524 to 776 of the family's 1533-position model. The record is from RNAcentral.